GCAAGUCGAACGCAGUAGCAAUACCGAGUGGCAGACGGGUGAGUAACAUGUGGGAAUCUGCCUUGUGGUUCAGGACAACAUUGGGAAACCGAUGCUAAUACUGGAUAAGCCCUUACGGGGAAAGUUUUAAUGCCAUAAGAUGAGCCCGCAUUUGAUUAGUUAGUUGGUGAGGUAAUGGCUCACCAAGACAAUGAUCAAUAGCUGAUCUGAGAGGAUGACCAGCCACACUGGGACUGAGACACGGCCCAGACUCCUACGGGAGGCAGCAGUGGGGAAUCUUGCACAAUGGAGGAAACUCUGAUGCAGCGAUGCCGCGUGAGUGAAGAAGGCCUUUGGGUUGUAAAGCUCUUUUGUAGGGGAAGAUAAUGACUGUACCCUAAGAAUAAGGUCCGGCUAACUUCGUGCCAGCAGCCGCGGUAAUACGAAGGGACCUAGCGUAGUUCGGAAUUACUGGGCGUAAAGCGCGCGUAGGCCGUUGAGUUAGUUAAUUGUGAAAUCCCAAAGCUUAACUUUGGAACUGCAAUUAAAACUGCUCGACUAGAGUUUGAUAGAGGAAAGCGGAAUACAUAGUGUAGAGGUGAAAUUCGUAGAUAUUAUGUAGAACACCAGUUGCGAAGGCGGCUUUCUGGAUCAACACUGACGCUGAGGCGCGAAAGUAUGGGUAGCAAAGAGGAUUAGAUACCCUCGUAGUCCAUACCAUAAACGAUGAUUGCUAGAUGUUGGAAAUUUAUUUUCAGUAUCGCAGCUAACGCAUUAAGCAAUCCGCCUGGGGAGUACGACCGCAAGGUUAAAACUCAAAUGAAUUGACGGGGACCCGCACAAGCGGUGGAGCAUGUGGUUUAAUUCGAAGAUACGCGCAGAACCUUACCAACCCUUGACAUGUCUGUCGCGAGUUUAGGAAACUAGACUUUU
Molecule: ribosomal RNA, 912 nt
Filed under: uncultured Pseudomonadota bacterium
Lineage: Bacteria; Pseudomonadati; Pseudomonadota
Description: bacterial SSU rRNA
Rfam family: Bacterial small subunit ribosomal RNA
Source: RNAcentral